ACGGAAGGCAGCAGUGGGGAAUAUUGCACAAUGGGCGCAAGCCUGAUGCAGCGAUGCCGCGUGAGGGAAGAAGGUUUUCGGAUUGUAAACCUCUGUCAAUAGGGACGAAGAAGACGGUACCUAUGAAGGAAGCUCCGGCUAACUACGUGCCAGCAGCCGCGGUAAUACGUAGGGAGCAAGCGUUAUCCGGAAUUACUGGGUGUAAAGGGAGUGUAGGCGGGACUGUAAGUCAGAUGUGAAAUAUACCGGCUCAACUGGUAGACUGCAUUUGAAACUGCGGUUCUUGAGUGAAGUAGAGGUAAGCGGAAUUCCUAGUGUAGCGGUGAAAUGCGUAGAUAUUAGGAAGAACACCGGUGGCGAAGGCGGCUUGCUAGACUGAGACUGACGCUGAGGCUCGAAAGCGUGGGGAGCAAACAGGAUUAGAUACCCUGGUA
This 434-nucleotide ribosomal RNA is filed under the name uncultured Ruminococcus sp. RNAcentral describes it as "partial 16S ribosomal RNA". It matches the Rfam family "Bacterial small subunit ribosomal RNA", at positions 341 to 792 of the family's 1533-position model. The record is from RNAcentral. Lineage: Bacteria; Bacillati; Bacillota; Clostridia; Eubacteriales; Oscillospiraceae.